CCUACGGGGCGCAGCAGUGGGGAAUAUUGCACAAUGGGGGAAACCCUGAUGCAGCAACGCCGCGUGGGUGAAGGAGCGUUUCGGCGCGUAAAGCCCUGUCAGCGGGGAAGAAGAAAGACGGUACCCGACCAAGAAGCCCCGGCUAACUACGUGCCAGCAGCCGCGGUAAUACGGAGGAUGCGAGCGUUAUCCGGAUUUAUUGGGUUUAAAGGGUGCGUAGGCGGAUUUUUAAGUCAGCGGUAAAAUGUCCGGGCUCAACCCGGGCCGGCCGUUGAAACUGGGGAUCUUGAGUGGGCGAGAAGUAU
RNAcentral lists this ribosomal RNA (305 nucleotides) under uncultured bacterium. RNAcentral's name for it is "bacterial SSU rRNA". It matches the Rfam family "Bacterial small subunit ribosomal RNA", at positions 338 to 660 of the family's 1533-position model. The record is from RNAcentral.